CCUCUGCCUUUCCCCGGGCGCCGAUCGCCGCCCUCCCGCCCCGGGUGGGGCCGCGGGCGGCAGCGUCCCCGGGCUCUCGGCCGCUGCCCGGGAGCCAAAGGGUCAGAUUUAGUUUCACAACAAAGUCUCCUGGUCACUGCAACCCGACUGGAGGCCGAAGCGGCCGGGCAGCCAGGGCAGGGGCCGGAGCGCCGCCACCGGGGCCGAAGGUGGGAAGAGAGCGCGCGAGGGGACGGUGGCCGGCGACAGGGUCCCGGCGGCUGGACUUACUCGUGUCACAACUGCGGCGACGAGGGGCUGAGGAACCGGUUCUUCCAAAAACAAACCGAAAAUGGGAGGAUGAAGAUCCCACCCACUAGCUGAGAUCCAGAUUUACUUCAGAGCAUCAGUGGGAGAAGACCGGACCACAUGGGAACAGCCAAGAGUCAAGCCAACUCUUCAGCUGCACUUAUCCAAUAAAAGUGGAAGAGGGAAGCUAAUGGCCUGAAUAGUGACGUGCCUACGGACAUAAAUGUACAAGCAGCUCGCCGGAGGGAGUUUUUCGGAAGAACCUCAAACAGAGAUGCCGUUCCCCGAGCUGUUUCUAAAUAGACGUAGAUUAUUUCCCCAAAGAUGAUGAACCGUUCUUUUGUCCAAAUCCAAGAUGCAAUAAUGCAUAGGCUCCCUAAAACGCAACAUUCAAAUUUCAUUUAUUUAGAGAUGUCUGAAGCCUUCAAGAAUUAGAGAAGUAAAGAUGAAAAAAGACAUCUUUUUAUGAUCUGUUUUGGGUAGCUGAACAGGUAGGCAGAUACGCGAAACAGAAGUUUACUGCUGGAAGUUGUUUUGCUUCAGAAUGUACCUUCUAUUUGCUAAAAGUUUAUAUUAUCGUAAAGGAAAUCAAAAGACAAAACUGUCAAUGUGGAUGCAUCAUUUGACAAGUAAAAUUGAACAUAAAUUUUCUUUGGAAAGGGAAGAUAAAUCAGAGUGCUACCACUGAUAUCUCAGUCAAGUCAUGGUUUAAGAAAAAAUAUUCCCUCCAUAAGAACGUUCGGUUUUGUUUUUUUCUUUUCUAACAUGUCUUGAGUUAAACAAAACAUGUUAACAAGAUUGUAACGAAAACUCCGCAUGAUGUAAACAUCCAAAGAAAGAAAUUCUAGAUUGAUUAUCUUCUGGGACCGCAAAGAUUUUAUUACUAGAUAUCACUGAAGUCGUGGAACCAGAGGCCGAAAGCCUUAGUACUCUAACUGGGUGGUGAGGGGGUUUUAGAGGACUAUUUCCCAAUUAAAAAAAAAAAAAACUUCAUAAAAUGUAAAUGCAAUAAGUCGAGCAGAAUUUUAUUUUUCCAAGAUUAAAAUAUGUUAUUUAGUUGGUUUGGAAGGGCAUUGCCAAUUCAUGAAUGUAUCGGAAUAAAACACAAGAGCAAGUGCCAAAUACCUGUGGUUUAUGUAAACUACAUAAAAUCACGGGGUUUUUAUAUUUAGAUGGAUAAUAGACGGAUAUAAAAUGAUAGAUAAAAAUCAGUUGUUAUGGCUUGUCGUGGAUUUCCAUGUGCUUAUUAAUUUUCUUAAGUUUCCAAAUUUUUUCAUUUACGAACACUUGUCCAAUAUAAGCUUCUGAAACUGCAGCAGGCGUCAUUUCCUUACUUCACUUCUCAGAAGUACAUGGGAAAAGACAGUCAGAGAUGCUUCUAAGUGAAGCGCGUCCUUGCUGCUUGACCUCAGGAAACAAUGAGAAGUGUUUGGCUAUCUCCGCCAGGAUGCUGGGUGUGAGGGGUGGAGGCGAGGGGACUUCAACUGCCGUCCCC
Long non-coding RNA from Ailuropoda melanoleuca (giant panda), 1783 nucleotides. RefSeq lists it as uncharacterized. The record is from RefSeq and is a predicted model, not a curated record. The transcript has 3 exons. NCBI's taxonomy places the organism in Eukaryota, Metazoa, Chordata, Mammalia, Carnivora, Ursidae.